Molecule: long non-coding RNA, 492 nt
Filed under: Homo sapiens (human)
Lineage: Eukaryota; Metazoa; Chordata; Mammalia; Primates; Hominidae
Description: HSALNT0340180
Source: RNAcentral
UAAAGACUCAGGUGUAAAAUGUCAGCAUUCUGGCACUAUUCUAAGGAAGACACUGAAAAUUAGGGCAGAGUAUUUUUAAACCAAUAGGCUUGUAAACCUAUACCUGGUAUAUAAAGUUCUGGCUUACUUUGCCAAUGGUCAUCUGUUGCAGAUGCUUCAAGAGAAGAGUUGCUGGAAAAAACACAUCAAGUGUAGAAGACGUGUUCAAAAAUAGAAAAUACUGCCCUUGAUCUACGAACUCUCUUCAAAGGAAGUUUUAACAUUUUAAGUCUUCAGAGUCUUUAAAUGUGAACUGGAAAAUGUGGAAACUGGAAAAUAAUUACUUUGUGUGCUUUUUGUAUGAGAUUAAGGUCUCUACUAUAGCAGAGUUCUUUACAAGGAAUAUGUAGGACAAGUCUAAAGACUGAAGCAAGAGUCUGGAAUUUUGCCGCUUCUUGGUUGACAGAAUCCAAGGGUAUAUUGUCACAGAGAAGACUCCAGCCUGAUGUCUAU